CCAAUAGCGUAUAUUAAAGUUGUUGCAGUUAAAAAGCUCGUAGUUGAACCUUAGGCCCGUGCGGGCGGUCCGUCCUCUGGGCGAGCACUGCUUCGUCGCGGGUCUCACCUUCUGGCGAGCGUGGAUGCCAUUUAUUUGGUGUCCGCGGGAACCAGGACCUUUACCUUGAAAAAAUUAGAGUGCUCAAAGCGGGCUCCGACGCUUGAAUACAUUAGCAUGGAAUAAUGAAAUAGGACGAUGGUUCUAUUUUGUUGGUUUCCGGGACCUUUGUAAUGAUUAAUAGGGAUAGUUGGGGGCAUUCGUAUUCAAUUGUCAGAGGUGAAAUUCUUGGAUUUAUUGAAGACGGACUACUGCGAAAGCAUUUGCCAAGGAUGUUUUCAUUAAUCAAGAACGAAAGUUGGGGGAUCGAAGACGAUCAGAUACCGUCGUAGUCUCAACCAUAAACUAUGCCGACUGGGAAUCGGGCGAUGUUACUUUUCUGACUCGCUCGGCGCCCCGAG
This 500-nucleotide ribosomal RNA is filed under the name uncultured Glomeromycotina. RNAcentral's name for it is "partial small subunit ribosomal RNA". It matches the Rfam family "Eukaryotic small subunit ribosomal RNA", at positions 591 to 1092 of the family's 1831-position model. Lineage: Eukaryota; Fungi; Glomeromycota. The record is from RNAcentral.